This 410-nucleotide ribosomal RNA is filed under the name uncultured bacterium. RNAcentral's name for it is "bacterial SSU rRNA". It matches the Rfam family "Bacterial small subunit ribosomal RNA", at positions 355 to 762 of the family's 1533-position model. The record is from RNAcentral.
UGGGGAAUAUUGCACAAUGGGCGCAAGCCUGAUGCAGCAACGCCGCGUGAGGGAAUGAGGCCCUACGGGUCGUAAACCUCUUUUGCCGGGGGAUAACGGGCGCCACGCGUGGCGCCGUGAAGGUACCCGGAGAAUAAGCAUCGGCUAACUCCGUGCCAGCAGCCGCGGUAAUACGGAGGAUGCGAGCGUUAUCCGGAUUUAUUGGGUUUAAAGGGUGCGCAGGCGGGCGUCUAAGUCAGCGGUGAAAGUUCCCGGCUCAACCGGGUCAGUGCCGAUGAUACUGGGGGUCUUGAAUGCGGUCGAGGCCGGCGGAAUGUGGCGUGUAGCGGUGAAAUGCAUAGAUAUGCCACAGAACACCGAUAGCGAAGGCAGCUGGCCGGGCCUGCAUUGACGCUGAGGCACGAAAGCGU